UAACAUUAAAGUUUGUCCCAUUCUGUUCCAUAAGACCAAUGUAAAAUUAAGGCAUUUUGGUUAUGCUAUGAGAAAAUUUGGUGUAUUGAGAAUAUCCCCUUAAUUCCAUUUCAGAUUUCGGCCAUAAUUGAUUUUUAUGUUGUAAAUUUGUUUUAAACAUUUCAUAUUUCGUGUAUUUUGCUACAAUGGCUGGUGUAAUGGGUGAAAUUAUUCACUCCACAAAUGAUUUAGUGAUCAUUCAAUGUGAAGAUUGUCCAUAAUAUCCAUGUGAAGCGGCCUAAAAUCGACGUCUUUCUGCGAAAGUAUGCAGAACACGAAGCUGCAGUCAGAUACGCAUACAAACGAUUUAAAACCGUGGCGUCGAUCGAGUCAGCCAUCCAGAGGAGGAUGCUGGGGCGAAGGGAG
Long non-coding RNA from Planococcus citri (citrus mealybug), 405 nucleotides. RefSeq lists it as uncharacterized. The transcript is spliced from 3 exons. Lineage: Eukaryota; Metazoa; Arthropoda; Insecta; Hemiptera; Pseudococcidae. The record is from RefSeq and is a predicted model, not a curated record.